This 1459-nucleotide ribosomal RNA is filed under the name uncultured organism. Its description in RNAcentral is "SSU rRNA". It matches the Rfam family "Bacterial small subunit ribosomal RNA". The record is from RNAcentral.
GCCUAAUACAUGCAAGUAGAACGCUGAAGAGAGGAGCUUGCUCUUCUUGGAUGAGUUGCGAACGGGUGAGUAACGCGUAGGUAACCUGCCUUGUAGCGGGGGAUAACUAUUGGAAACGAUAGCUAAUACCGCAUAACAAUGGAUGACACAUGUCAUUUAUUUGAAAGGGGCAAUUGCUCCACUACAAGAUGGACCUGCGUUGUAUUAGCUAGUAGGUGAGGUAACGGCUCACCUAGGCGACGAUACAUAGCCGACCUGAGAGGGUGAUCGGCCACACUGGGACUGAGACACGGCCCAGACUCCUACGGGAGGCAGCAGUAGGGAAUCUUCGGCAAUGGGGGCAACCCUGACCGAGCAACGCCGCGUGAGUGAAGAAGGUUUUCGGAUCGUAAAGCUCUGUUGUAAGUCAAGAACGAGUGUGAGAGUGGAAAGUUCACACUGUGACGGUAGCUUACCAGAAAGGGACGGCUAACUACGUGCCAGCAGCCGCGGUAAUACGUAGGUCCCGAGCGUUGUCCGGAUUUAUUGGGCGUAAAGCGAGCGCAGGCGGUUUGAUAAGUCUGAAGUUAAAGGCUGUGGCUCAACCAUAGUUCGCUUUGGAAACUGUCAAACUUGAGUGCAGAAGGGGAGAGUGGAAUUCCAUGUGUAGCGGUGAAAUGCGUAGAUAUAUGGAGGAACACCGGUGGCAAAAGCGGCUCUCUGGUCUGUAACUGACGCUGAGGCUCGAAAGCGUGGGGAGCGAACAGGAUUAGAUACCCUGGUAGUCCACGCCGUAAACGAUGAGUGCUAGGUGUUGGAUCCUUUCCGGGAUUCAGUGCCGCAGCUAACGCAUUAAGCACUCCGCCUGGGGAGUACGACCGCAAGGUUGAAACUCAAAGGAAUUGACGGGGGCCCGCACAAGCGGUGGAGCAUGUGGUUUAAUUCGAAGCAACGCGAAGAACCUUACCAGGUCUUGACAUCCCGAUGCUAUUUCUAGAGAUAGAAAGUUACUUCGGUACAUCGGUGACAGGUGGUGCAUGGUUGUCGUCAGCUCGUGUCGUGAGAUGUUGGGUUAAGUCCCGCAACGAGCGCAACCCCUAUUGUUAGUUGCCAUCAUUCAGUUGGGCACUCUAGCGAGACUGCCGGUAAUAAACCGGAGGAAGGUGGGGAUGACGUCAAGUCAUCAUGCCCCUUAUGACCUGGGCUACACACGUGCUACAAUGGUUGGUACAACGAGUUGCGAGUCGGUGACGGCAAGCUAAUCUCUUAAAGCCAAUCUCAGUUCGGAUUGUAGGCUGCAACUCGCCUACAUGAAGUCGGAAUCGCUAGUAAUCGCGGAUCAGCACGCCGCGGUGAAUACGUUCCCGGGCCUUGUACACACCGCCCGUCACACCACGAGAGUUUGUAACACCCGAAGUCGGUGAGGUAACCUUUUGGAGCCAGCCGCCUAAGGUGGGAUAGAUGAUUGGGGUGAAGUCGU